GAUUAUGGCUCAGGAUGAACGCUAGCUACAGGCUUAACACAUGCAAGUCGAGGGGCAGCAUGAUCUGUGCUUGCACAGAUUGAUGGCGACCGGCGCACGGGUGAGUAACGCGUAUCCAACCUUCCCCUUAGUAGGGCAUAGCCCGGCGAAAGUCGGAUUAAUACCCUAUGUUUUCCAAUGAGGACAUCUGAGCUGGAAUAAAGAUUUAUCGCUAAGGGAUGGGGAUGCGUCCGAUUAGGUUGUUGGCGGGGUAACGGCCCACCAAGCCCUCGAUCGGUAGGGGUUCUGAGAGGAAGGUCCCCCACACUGGUACUGAGACACGGACCAGACUCCUACGGGAGGCAGCAGUGAGGAAUAUUGGUCAAUGGGCGAGAGCCUGAACCAGCCAAGUAAGCGUGCAGGAUGACGGCCCUAUGGGUUGUAAACUGCUUUUAUACGGGGAUAAAGUGAGGGACGUGUCCCUUAUUGUAGGUACCGUAUGAAUAAGGACCGGCUAAUUCCGUGCCAGCCGCAGC
Molecule: ribosomal RNA, 515 nt
Filed under: uncultured bacterium
Lineage: Bacteria
Description: bacterial SSU rRNA
Rfam family: Bacterial small subunit ribosomal RNA
Source: RNAcentral